CGUUCUAUGGCCAAAUUGGUAAAUGCAUCGUCGUUCAUAGGCGAAGAUGCGGGUUCAAGUCCCGCUGGAACGG
RNAcentral lists this transfer RNA (73 nucleotides) under Operophtera brumata (winter moth). It matches the Rfam family "tRNA". From Rfam's summary of the family: Transfer RNA (tRNA) molecules are approximately 80 nucleotides in length. Their secondary structure includes four short double-helical elements and three loops (D, anti-codon, and T loops). Further hydrogen bonds mediate the characteristic L-shaped molecular structure. tRNAs have two regions of fundamental functional importance: the anti-codon, which is responsible for specific mRNA codon recognition, and the 3' end, to which the tRNAs corresponding amino acid is attached (by aminoacyl-tRNA synthetases). tRNAs cope with the degeneracy of the genetic code in two manners: having more than one tRNA (with a specific anti-codon) for a particular amino acid; and 'wobble' base-pairing, i.e. permitting non-standard base-pairing at the 3rd anti-codon position. Lineage: Eukaryota; Metazoa; Arthropoda; Insecta; Lepidoptera; Geometridae. The record is from Rfam by way of RNAcentral.